RNAcentral lists this ribosomal RNA (497 nucleotides) under uncultured bacterium. Its description in RNAcentral is "partial 16S ribosomal RNA". It matches the Rfam family "Bacterial small subunit ribosomal RNA", at positions 38 to 507 of the family's 1533-position model. The record is from RNAcentral.
GAGGAAAGAGUGAGGCGUGCCUAAUACAUGCAAGUCGAGCGAACGGACGAGAAGCUUGCUUCUCUGAUGUUAGCGGCGGACGGGUGAGUAACACGUGGAUAACCUACCUAUAAGACUGGGAUAACUUCGGGAAACCGGAUCUAAUACCGGAUAAUAUUUUGAACCGCAUGGUUCAAAAGUGAAAGACGGUCUUGCUGUCACUUAUAGAUGGAUCCGCGCUGCAUUAGCUAGUUGGUAAGGUAACGGCCUACCCAGGCAACGAUGCAUAGCCGACCUGAGAGGGUGAUCGGCCCACAUGGAACCGAGAACCGGUCCAGACUCCUACGGGAGGCAGCAGUAGGGAAUCUUCCGCAAUGGGCGAAAGCCUGAAGGAGCCAAGGCGCGUGAGUGAUGAAGGUCUUCGGAUCGUAAAACUCUGUUAUUAGGGAAGAAAAUAUGUGUAAGUAACUGUGCACAUCUUGACGGUACCUAAUCAGAAAGCCACGGCUAAAUACGUG